UUUCACAUUAUAGUUAAAUCUAACAUUGAAUUUCCUAACUCACCUUUGUAUGCCAGGAUAUAUUAGAAACAAUUUUAAAACAUGUCAGAGAUAUUACCUUUGUCAUGGCGCUCAAGCCUGACUUGGAAGACACAUAGGCUACUCCUCCAGGUAACUGUCCCCGAUUAAGAGCAGCAAUGGAAGAAAUAUUGAUGAUUGAUCCUCCAUUCUUGGCAUCCCUCAUGCGCAUACCGACAUAUUUUGACACCAACCAUGAUCCCGUCAAGUUUGUCUUCAGAGUAUUAUUCCAUUCCUCCUCAGAUAUAUCCAGAGGAGAGUUCACAUUGCCUAAGGCACACAGGGCACAGGGCAUGGGUUAAAUACAUCUACCACGCAUUACGUUCACAAAUAUUAGCAGAACACCAGAGAUAAAUUAAAUGAGUAAUAUUGAUAAGAAAAAUAUAUGUGAUUGACUCGGUAUAGAUACCCAGUUGACUCGCUAAUCUUUUUCAUUAAACAAAUAGUUUCAAAUUUCAGUUCGAACUGAAUGAAAUGAAACGUGCGCUAGAAUUGAAAGUAUGAGAAAAACAAGGUUUCCAAAAGCCAGCUGCAAAACGGGAAAUUCAGGAUACAGGAAUAUCAGGAUCGUGCAAAACCCCAUAAAUUCAAAAAUUGAAAACCAUGAAACGAGAAAUCAGGUAAAUUAAUACUAUACCCUACAUAUUCACCCCUUAGAUGAUUGAAAUUUUAAUUUCGUUUCUUCAUUCAGAUUUCGCGUGAACCAAACGGCAGGUAGAAGUGCUCAAAGAAAAAAAAAUCAAAAUUGCCUCAGUCCGUUGCAUUCCUAAAAUAUCAGAACCUCAUCAACCACAAGAUUCCAAAUUCCCUUUCCUUUUUUCCAAACAGAAACUAAACUCUUUUCCAAAGUCAAAUCAAAAUUUACCUCUAAUGCCCGCAUUAUUUAGCAAAGCAUCGAUACGUCCAAAGGCCUCCCAAGCCUUCUGAACGGAGGCGCCGAUUGAGGAGCCAUCGCUGGUGACGUCAAGUUCGACUGCUACGGCUCGGAGAGGCGGAUCAGCGUUUGGAGGAAGGUUCGAGUGGGUGAGGUUGUUGAUCUCGUCGCAGAGAGACUUGAGUCGGUCAACUCGGCGGGCGGCCGCCACGAUCUUGCAGCCGGCUUUGGCGAGGUUGAGGCAGAACUCGCUGCCGAGACCCGAGGAAGCGCCGGUGACCAUGACCACCUUGCCCUCCAGGUCUUGCCAUGGCUCGAGGUGGUUCGCGACUUGGGACGCCAUCAAUGUGGUUGAGAGUCUCUAGAGAAAGUAGGCACCAGCUUUUAGAGGGAAAAAAAGUAAAGCAAAGAAAAUUUGAUAAGAUGAAAAUAAAUAAUAAAUAAUUAAAAGGGGAAAUAAACUCCUCUAUAUAUUCUAUUGCGACAUUGCGUGAUCAAAUUCCAUUUGUUUAUGUAUCGCCUUUGUAGUGAAUCUAGUGAUGAUGCCAUCGGAUUGUUUGCAGUGAAUUGUCGGAAUUGUUUUUAGUCAUUCUAAUAAUUAAAAAUAAAAAUUUUCAAAUAUUAAAAAUUAAAAAAUUUUAAAUAUUAAAAAUGUUAAAAACGCUUCCUAUAAUAAUUGUUAAAUAGACUCUAAGAGUAUAUUUGAAAGUAAUUCUAAAAAAUAUUUUUAGUAUUUUUAUUAAUGUGUUUUUAAGUAUUAAAAAUAUUAAAAAUACUUUCUAAAAUCACUAUCAAACUAAAAGUGCAUUUAAAAGUAAUUUUAAAAAAUAUUUUUAACAUUUCUAAUACUUAAAUAAUAAAAAACUUCAAGUGUUAAAAAAAUUUAAAACAUUCCAUAAAAUCACUACCAAAUAGAGUCUAAGUUUGUGAAGGGAUCAACACUUAAUAAGUCAUAUUUUAUUAUACAUCUUUCUAAAAUUAGUAUUAAGAAACCAAUUUUUCAGUGUCCAAUAAUUUUCCCUAUUGGUAUAAUUUUCUAAUUACGUAAAAUAAAAAUGGUCAUCAAGGGAAAAUAAUUUUUGAGAACAAACUUUUGCUUAUGAUUUUUUUAUUAUUACUCAAAAAGAGCAUAUUUUAUAUAAUAAUUAUCACGAAUUUCAUAUCUUUUGAGUAGUAACUAUACCUAAAACACUCAAUUAACAUGUUUUUACUUUUGCAAGAAUUACUAAAAAGUCUUAUGAAGUUUUGGGGUAAUUUCAAGGUAUGUUUUUUAUAAAUAGGUGACAAAAGAGAUGAAUCAAAUUAAAGAAAACAAAUAAAGUUGAUGAUGAUCCAAAUGCAUAAUGAAAGAGGCAAUCCAAUCAGUUUGGAUUGGGAUUUGGAGGUAGUUGAAGUGGAAUCAAAAUGAAGAAAUGAGAGAAAUUGCAAAAAGAAGUUGAAAAACCAUGUUUUUCAAUUUCACAUAAACACGAGAAAAAUUCGCACAGUCAUGCAAAUUGAAAUAGAAUGGACUUUGGCUGCAGCACACAAGGGGAAAAGUGAAAAUUGAUUUCGCAUGACCAUACGAAACGCUCCAAGAAGACGAAAAUGGUGCUGAUGGAUUUUCCACUUCGCACAAUCGUGCGAAAUUGUUGGAGCUCAUGCGAAAUUGUUGGAGCUCGUGCGAAAUUGCAUCUUUUCCAAAUUUCUUGAUGAAAAAGUCUCCGGAAGACCUUUUAGAUGAUGCCAAGUGUCCACUUGACCUUGGCCUAUAAAUAGAAACUUGAUUUACUCAUUUAGGGAUUUUUGAUACAUUUCCUAAUUGUAGAAUUUUCCAAAUUUCUUCUCUCUAUAUAAUUCUCUACUUUCCUUCAUUUUCUCUCAUUUUCUCGGUAGCCAAACAUGUCUUGUGAGAUCAAAUCUCAAAGUAUGAGUGGCUAAAUCUUGUUUUUCUUGGAAGAGAAAGGAUAUAGAGAUAAGAUCUAUGGUGAAUUAGAGAAAUGAGAUUAAAUUGCAAAGGUAAUUUGAUCCAAUUGAUUGAUUAAUUGAAAUUUUGAGAUUUUUCUCUUCAAAUUGUCUUGGAUGAUUACGACAAUGUAAGUUAGGUACAUUCAUCAAAUUCUUAAAGUUAGAUUUGAUGAGAUUGAAUAGUUACAUUGUGUGAAUCAUUGGCAGAUAAUUUAAGAUGAAUUGAAUAUAUGAUUUGAAUUGAUCUCUUAGAUUAAACGACCUAAUUUGAAGAGAAAUUAGAUCUAAACCUAAAGUCAAAUCAAAAAUCGGUUUAGAUGAAAAUUUAGGUUUUCAAUCUAACUUGAUGAAAAUUAGAUCUCAACAUCUAUUCACCAUGGAAAUUGUUUUCUAGAAAAUCCUAACUCCGAGAAUUUUAUCUCCUAUUAAUUUUCUUUUAUUUUACAUUUUAUUUUUCUUCUCAAUUUUAGACCAUUGUCAAAUUAAUUUUUCAUCAUGAAUUUUCAAAUCAAUUUCACUUGAUCACAAUCAUUUCUUAUCCUUUCAUUCAAGCCUUAAUUACCGAGAAUAAUCCAUCCUAGUGGACGACACCUAAAAACCACUAUAUUACAGUAGUUUGUACUAAAAUUGUUUUUAAUCGGGUACAAUCUACUUUAGAAUAGUGAAUUAGGUUAUAAAUUUUGUUUUGAUCAAAUAAAUGACAAAAAUCUAAGCGAUCAAUUUUGUAUAUAAAAAAUAAUUUUUUUCACUUAUUCUCGAUAAAACUUAUAAUGUAAAAGUUUUCAAAAUAUUUUUUUAAUAUUUUUUCUUUAUUUUUUGAAAAAUUUUGAUAAAUAAAAUAUGAAAAUACUUUUAAAUUAUUUUUAAAAUAACCUAUUUUCACAACAACAUUUUGAAAAAAACUUUUUUUAUUUUCUCAAAAUUUGGUCAAAUAUAUUCUCUAAGUUGGAGAGUGUCUAAUAUCCUUGUAAAUGUAUUUGGACAAAGUUUUGGAUUUUUAUUAUUUACUUUUGCUUUUAACAGCAAAACUCACUUUAAAAAUCCAAAAAAUAAAAUGAGUUUGGAAAACAAAAUCCAAACUUUAAUCAAAUUUAAAUCCUUUAAUUUUCUCAUUUGUUAAAAGAAUCUCAUAUUUUAUGCCAUUGAUGAAUAAGAAAAAACUUCUUACAUCUCUUAUAAGAAUCAUCUAUCAAUAUUUGAGUAUAUUUUUUUUUAGUGAUGCAUGGUGUUAAUUGAUUGAACUAAAAUUGUAUAAUAAAACCUGUCAAUAGGGAUGACAAUUUAGACACGACACGAUAAUGCAAUUUGAAAAUGAUUGGAUUGUUAAUGUGUUUGGGUUUGCAUGUGAUUGUGUUGUGUCUUAAUAAACAUGUCUUAUUUGGGUUUUCAUUAUUCACCUUGUUUAUGAUUUAUUUGCUUAAUUGUAUCAAAAUAAUUUAUUUAAUCCAUAUAAAUUUAAUAAUUUUAUACAUUCCAAUUAUAAAAAUAAUAAAUACUUUGUUAAUUAUAAAUAUCAUAUAGUAAAAACAUUAAAUAACUAAAUAAAAUUACAUUUGAUUAGUAAGAUUAAAAAUAGUUUAUAGUUAAAAUUUUAAAUAAAAUAAUAAGUAAAUGUAAAAAUUAAAAUAUUAUCCUACUUUUUAUAUUAUGAUCAAAAUUAAAUAAUUACAUUAAUUAAGAUUAAAAAUUAAAGCAAAUGAAAAGUAUUUUAGAAUAAUAUAUUUAUAAAGUUAAAUUCCAAAAUAGGUUAAACGGGUUAUAAUCAUGUUAACUAGUUAAAAUCAUACUAAUGGAUUAUUAUGUCCGAUUUAACCCAUUUAUUAAAUGAGUUAAAUGGGUUGUAUUGAGUUACCUAUAUAAUAAAUGAGUUGUGUUUAUGUUGAAUGUUUCCGACAUGAUUAUUAAAUAAGUCAUAUUUAAAUUAAAUAAAUUUUUACUAUUUUUUUUUUACUUUGAAGACAUUGCCAUCCCUACUUGCUCACAUGCAUUUAAACAAAAAAAUCUUGUAAUUUUCUCUCCAAUCCUUAUCAUUUUUCCCAUCGGCAAGUUCCCUAUUAGGAAAAGAAAUUCCUUGUAUACAUCUCUCAUCCCCAUUCAUGGUCUUUGAAUUCAUAUUUAAAAUUUUCAAAUAUAUAUAUAUAUAUAUAUAUAUAUAUAUAUAUAUAUAUAUAUAUAUAUAUAUAUAAACUAAUAUAUUUUAUAGUGAAUAUGAUAAUUUUUAAAAAAAUAAAUAAAUAUAAAAUUAUAUAUAAAGAAAUAUAUUUAAUAUUAUAUGUAUAUGGUUUGGGUGGGUUUUGGAUAGGGAAUAGUUUCAUUUCCCUGGUCGAGGUUCCCCAUCCCUAAUCCGACUCCAUUAGGGAUGGAUUCCCCAGGGGCACAACUUGGCUGGUUUUUUAUGCCAUCCUUGCUGGAGGGUGGGUUGGGAACUGUUGCCCAAAGCAUGGCCCAUGGGCCCCAACAUUGGCAAAAUCUUGAAACCCUUUAAGAUUAAGCUUGUUAUCUGUUUAUGUAUAUGUGCCGCCAUUUAGAUUGCAGGCCUAAAAAACUUAUAUAGUUUAUGAAGACAUGACCCAACAGGCCCAUCGGGCCACUUGUAUUCCUCUUUAACUUGACACCAAAAGCGCAUUUGGUCGGGUUGAGCUUCAUAUUGUAUGCUUUCAUUAGGCAAAAUGUUUCCUCUAAGUGUAGGACGCGUUUGCUCUGGGUUUUGUUUUUUACCACAAUAUCAUCAAUAUAGACUUCUACGGUUCGGCUGAUCAAGGGUUUGAAGAUUUUUGUCAUCAACCUUUAAUAAGUGGUUCCAACAUUCUUAAGCCCAAAUGGCAUAACCCUAUAGCAGUAUAAUCUGUGCAGCAUCACGAAGGCGGUUUUCUUUUCAUCCGGUUGGAACAUCGGGAUCUGGUGGUACCCGGAGAAUGUGUCUAUGAAAGAGAGCAUCUCAUACAUGGUAGUGGACUCAACUAUCUGAUCUAUUCGAGGUAGAGGGAAGCUAUCUUUCAGGCAAGCAUCAUUCAGGUUGGUGUAAUCAACACAGACUCGCCACUUUCCUCCUUUCUUUGGAACAACCACUACAUUCGCCAACCAAUCCAGAUAUUAUACUUCCUUGAUAAACCCGAUUGUCAGCAACUUGUCCACAUUGAAUUGGAUGAUCUUUUGCUUGUCUGGAUGGAAGCGUCUGACUUUCUGGCAAACGGGUCACGAGGAAGGUAUGAUAUUGAGUCGAUGUAAGGCUACCGAUGGAUGGAUUCUGGGCAUAUCAAAGUGAGUCCAUGCGAAAACAUCCUUGUUCUACUAAAGCACUCCUUCGAGUAAUUUUAAUUCUUUUAGUGCUAGGAGAGAGCUAGCAUAGGUAACACGAUCACUGCUACCUGAGAGAUGCAAGGGUUGGAGCGAGUCUGCUGCUGACAGAUCUUUUUUCGUCAGGCUCUGUAAUUGCUAUUGCUCCUUCGUAUUUGUCAGUCUCGUGUGUGGCUCACUGUUGCUUGGGAGUCCGAAAUUGAGUACCGCUUGAUAGCACUAGCACGUAGCCAACUUACUACCAUAAAGGUCGAUUUGUCCGUCCUCGGUGAGGUAGCUUACCAUCUGAUGAUACGUAGAGGGAAUGACUUUCAUGUUGUGAAGCCACGUGCGCUCCAUGAUGGUGUUAAAAUGGGAUAAGUCCUCUACUAUCGAGAACUGCACAUUCUGGGUGAUCAUACCAACUUGGACGGGUAAUACGAUGUCACCUAAAGACGUUGUCGUUGUCCCAUUGAACCAAAUAAUAUCUGUUUUGGGUUUUCUAGGGCAAUCGGCAGGAGUCUCAUUUGUUUGUAUGACGACAUUUGCAAGAGGUCAACUGAGCUGCCCAGAUCAACCAAAAUCCUUCUUACAUCAAACCCAUUUAUCCCUAAUGUUAGAACUAGGGCGUCUUCAUGUGGUUGUAGUACUCGGUUGGGGUUUACUGGAGGGAAGGUUAUUAUCCCGUCCAUUAGGCAUGCACCUUGAUUACUACUCAAAAAGUGUUAUUUCAUAGCUUGUAAUUAACUCUUUUAAACACUUUUGAGUAGUAGUUAUUGCCUUUUAACCCAAUUAACAUGUUAAGGACCCUUGCAAUCACUUCUAAUCAAUUUGUGUUAAGUUUUGGUGUUUUGAUAGCUUUUUUAUCACCAAAGCAAUCCGAGAUUGAGGAGAGUUAUUUGGAAUCUAUGGCAAAGCAAUGGAAAGCUCAGAAACAUGAAGAACCAAAGCUUUGAAGUCCUUUGUCAUAAGCAAAUCCGGAAUGCAAGGAGGAGAAGCAAAGAGAAAUCUGCCAUGAAGCAUUCUUGAUGAUAGCCAUGUCAGCCACUUUUAGAGCACUUCCUGAAGUCUAAUUUAUGCAUGCUAUAUGUCGUUUCGAAGCUCAGGAAGUCAACAAUCCAAUGCUUCAAAUGGUGUUCAAUUUGGAGUUGAAAUGAAGGAAUUACAGCCAUUACAAGUUGAUCACUCUAAGUUGAAGGAAGAAUUUUGCACAGCGCUGCGAAAUCACCCUUUUGUUGCGAGAUGAUUUCGCAGCCUUUUUGUACAGUGCUGUGGAUUCUCCCCUGAAGUUUCCCGUCACAAUGGAAGCCGAAUACCGCAAGCUGAAAGCCAACUUCGCAGCGCUGCGAAAUCAGCCUUUUGCUGCGAAGUGAUUUCGCAGCCCUUUUUGUGCUUCUACGAAAUCUCGUAGACCUCGUUUUCACCUGCGAAAUGGUCCUUAGUGCUUCCCGAUAUUUGUGACCGACACUUUUGGAUAUUUUGCUUCAGAUUUUUGAUAACUAAAUCCUCAUUUUCUCCUUGUAACCCACCAAUUAUAGGAUUUCUUAGUUAUUAAGUUUGGCAAAGGGGUGAAUAACCUUAGAUAUUUUGUUUUGUAAUUUUCUUUAUAUAUAGCUCUCGGGAGCUUGUUCUUAUAUAGAAUUAUGUAAUCCGACGGGAUAUAGAUUUAUAAAUAUAUAGAAUAUACAGAGCCUUGCUCUGUUUUUUCUUUCUCUUUCAUUUUCAUUUUCUUGCUAAUCAAACUCUGAAGAUUUUUCCUCAGAUGAUGAGAGGCUAGGCUCUUCGUCUCUUGGAGCUAAGGUAACCGGGUAAGUUUUCCACAUGCAUAAAUUGGAAGUUUUGUUGUUUUAGUUUUUAAUGAAGAGAAAGUGUGACCCGUUAAUGGUUUUUAUCUUUUUAGUUAACUUAAAACGCCUUUAAUUCACCUGAGCCAACACUUGGUAAGGCAAGUGAUCUCCGUCCAUGGAGAUGCACUAGUUUAUCUCUUGCGAGCUUUUGGUAGGUGGUUUGAAGGUAGGAUUUUCUAGAAUAGCCAACACUUGUUAAGAUUUUGGACUCCAAUGAGACAUCCAUUAGUUAUCUCUUGCGAGCUUUUGAUGGGUAAUCCAAGGUUAAAGAUCACCUUGAAUGACAAAUGCUAGGUGAGAGGCACGAGUCAUUGCAAGGUGCAUCAAUGAGAGGGAUUUAGUGUUUGAACCCAUUAAUGGGAAGUAUCUGUACAACACUGGUUAGAGAAUUAACUACAUGUUAAUUCUCUAAUGCGAGGAAAAGAAACAAGUGACCAGAACUCUCCUUUUUGUAUGAGGAAUCUGAGCCUAGUGAUCUGAAACUCCAAGAAACACUUUUCUUUGUAAGUAAAAUCAGUUGCUAUUUUUGGUUAGUUUAAAACCAAACUUUUUUCAUUCAAACAUCUUUAUGUUUUCUUUUAAAGCUAACCUUGAAAUGAAAAGGCACCAAUUCAGCUUUGAAUUAAUAUCAUUUGCAAAGUGAAAACCCAUCCCAGUGAACGAUCCUAGAGCCACUAUGCUAUAAUAGCUUUGUCUUUGCUAUCCUAGUAAAUGGUGUAAUAGGUUAUAAAUUUUGUUGAUUACUCCCUCAAUCAAGGAGCACCAGCUGGACACGAAUCAACUGAGACACCAAUUGGGCAUGAAUCACACCUUCACUCGGCAAACUAUGUUGGAUAGAGCUAACCUACUCCCUCACGAAAGCCACUCGUAGCAAUCUUUGUCUCUUUUGUUUGGAAUUGUAUUUUUCGUCAACGAGACCCCCAUGAAUGUAGUUGAUGAUAGCUCUAAGAGCUUCCGAAGUUGUGGACACUUGGAUAGCCAAAUCCCGGGUGGUUUCCCUUUGUCCUUCGAUUGAGCGGAUGUAUCAUUUUAAGUGCUUGGCCUUAAUUAGUCUUUCCACUAAGUAGUGGAAACUUCUGCAUUGUUUCGUGGUGUGGCCAUGAUCUUUGUGAUAGGCACACUUCCUGUUCUAAUCCCGUUUCGUCGAAUCUGUCUUAAUUGACUCUGGCCAUCUAAAAUCAGACAGAUCACAAAUCAUGGGAAGGAGUUUGUCGUAUGAAAUGCUAAGGGGGGUCAGACUAGCUUGGCUUGGCUGCUGCUGGUCGUCUCGCUUCUUGCUGACUUGCCUUAGUUGGUUUGAGAGCUUAGAAUUUUCGGCAUGAUCGUUCCUGGCGGAUCGACGAGUGACCAGGACCUGCUGUGUAGUCUUACAAACAUCGUCUUCAAGAUGGAGUACUUGUUUACUCGUUUGAAUAGGUCAUCCAUUGUCGCUGAUAGUUUCUUAACGAGAGAUUCGAAGAAAUGCGUACUCGGACAAAUGCUUCUUUUGAAGAUUUGUAGGAUGACGUCCAUGCUACAAGACUCUACUUGGAGCACGACCUGUCCGAACAGUUUCACAAACUCCCUCAAUGAUUCAUUUUCCUACAUUUUUAUGUUUUGCGGGGUACUUAUGUUCUAUUUGUCAUGCCGAGCAUAGGUAGUGUCCCACAAAGGCUUCUGAUAGAUCCUAGAAAUUACUCACAAAAUUCUUUAGGAGAUGGUGGAACUACGAAAGGGCCUAGCCAUGUAAGCUAGUUGGAAAGACUUUGCAUAAUAGCACAUCGUUCCCUAUGUUGAGGGUCAUGAGCUGCCUAUAAUGCAUGAUAUGAUCAAACAGAUCACUUGUUUCGUCAUAUGUCAUGAAUUUUGGUACCAUGAACCCUCUUGGGGGCUAGUAGUUGAUGAUGUAAAGGCUAAAAAGCAUGGAGAGCAUGUCACCCAAUCGUCUACUGACAGAGCCAAGCAGUCCUCGUUCUGUCAGAGCCCCUACUUGUUGUUAUGCUGGUGGACGAGAAGGCCAUUCUAGCAUGACCAUUGUAAUCGAGAAACCAAGGCAGGCUUCCUGGGUCGCUGCUACACAUGGUUUCCCUUCCAUGCCAGGUGUCUGAGGUCUUAGCCGAGCUCACAUUGUGUCUGAUAGUUGUGACCUUCUAUCACACCUCUUUUUUGUGGAGAUGUGGGUAGAGUCAGAGCUUUCAUCUAACAGUGCUUGGCAAGUUGGUAGAAACUUUUCUUUAGGUCGUAUCUCCUGGCUACCAGAGAUGAACUUUGCGUCCCUAAGAAAUGACAUUUUUUCGUUUUGUUUGGAGUUUGUUCACUGGCUCUUAGGCUGUCGGCUACGAGGGGGGCUUGACGAAGACACCUGGAUGCGUAACACUUCAAUUUCUUCUCUAAGUCUCCUUGUCUCACAGAGCAAGGACUGUACCUGUCGUUUGCUCUCUUGUUGGCGUCUUUCCAUGUUUUCACACUAGUCGAAGUAGCCAUCGCUACCCAUGGCUGAUGAUCGGCUCCUUGAGGGCGUCGACAUUCUUAACAUUUCCCACAAAUAGCACCAAUGUUGAUGCGAGGUUAACUGGAGUCAGAUCCGCCUUAUGUUGUGCCACUGAGAGCUUUUACCCAGCAACAAGGGACUAAGUGAGCUUUUUCCCUACACAAAGGAUGUCCGGACAAGGUGUCUGAGCACGCCCCUCUGAAGCUUAAGUCAGACACAGGUAGGUUAGAGCUUAUAGGGAGAAAAUGAAUAAACUAGCUUAGGUGUGCAUACCUGGGUUAUGCUUUAGGAAGACUUUUUAUAGUGCUCAAGAGAAAGUUAAUGUAGUGCUGAGUAGAUACUUUGACCUUCACUGUAAUAAUGGUUAUCCUGCAGGUGGCAGAGCAAUCAUUGCAGUUUAGGGCAACUAGCAAGUUCCAUCAAAUGAUGUGUCAUAAUGUAGCUGCCCAUCAUUUCAACCUUCUGGAGAUAUGAGGCAAUGUGUGAUAAUUUGUUGACAUCAAGGAUGAAAAUAUCGGUAAUUACGGAUAUAUCGAUAUUUCGAUUUUACGGAUAUAUCGAUAUUUCGAUUUUACGGAUAUAUCGGAAAUAUAUCGAUGGAUAUUUUGAUAUAAAAUAUUAGUAGACCUAAAAUUGACCAAAACUUAUAAAAAUAUAAAAUAAAACUUUUAGAAAUGAAAUUAAAAUAUAAUAGAUAUUUUAAAAUUAUUUUAUUAAAUAAAUUAAUGUAUAUAUAAUAUUGUACGUGUCAAUAAAAAAAUAUAAAUUUGAUAAGUGUAUAUUGAUUAUUAAAUUAUAUUAAAUAUUAUUUGAUCAUUAUAUUGUGAUAUUUGAUUAUAAUAUAUUUCGAUGGAUAUUUUAACACAAAAUAUCGGUAAAUCUAAAAUUGAUCAAAACUUAUAAAAAUAUAUUAAAAAAAACUUUUAAAAAUAAAAUUAAAAACAUAAUAGACAUUUUAAAGUUAUUUUUUCGAAUAAAUUGAUAUAUAUAUAUAUAUAUAUAUAUAUAUAUAUAUAUAUAUAUAAUAUUGUACAUGUUAAUAAAAAAUAUAAAUUUGAUAAGUGUAUAUUGAUUAUUGAAUUAUAUAAAAUAUUAUUUGAUGAUAAUAUUGUGAUUAUAAUAUGUUUAAUUUUAAAAUCUGUUUAAUAUUAAAAUAGUGAUAUAUUAUAAAAUAAAUGAUAAUAAAUAUAUAAAAUAUUAAUAUAUUAAUAAUAUUAAAAACUCUAUGAAUAAAAUUAUGAUAUUUUUUACUAAUCAAUUAAAUGAAAAUUUUUCAUUUAAUUAUAAAAUAGUCAUAAUUAAUUUGUUAUUUAAAGUGUUUUUUUAAUAUUUUAUUUAUAUUCUAAGUUUUAAUAUAUAUUUCUUUAGAGUGUCAUAUUUAUCAAAGAGCAUGUUUGCCCUAGUGGAACUGGGCCUGACAUAGAAAUCUUUUGUUGGGGGUUCGAAUCCCCCCAACAGCAGGAAGAAAAAAAGCUUAAUUUUGACCGUUGACCGCCUGUGUUGACCGAGCGUUGACCGGCGAUAUAUCUCUGCUGCACCCACCGACACACCGAUAUUUCGCCGAAAUAUCGCCUAAUUCCAAAGGGAAUGAUUACACGUAGCAAGGGAGUUCCGAGCACUGUGGCAAUUAUCUGGACAAUGCUGAGGGAAGUGACGCAUGGACUGACACGUGGAAGGUCCCUACAAUUACUACUCCUCAUUCACGUCUACCAAACAGGCCUUUGGGAUGAAAAUUAUAUACGUCAAUUCCAAGUUUCCAACCCAACACAAUUAUAUUAUUCACCUAAAUCACACUAAACCCAAUUUCCAUUUUUUUGGUGCAUCCAACCUGGAAUAUGUACAUUUUAAUGUAAUUCCUGCACAAAUGAGAAAAGUGAAUAAGCCAUCUUCCUCGACAUUCUUCUUGUAAAUUGAAGAGCAAGAUUUAUUUAUUUAUUUAUUUAUUUGCAUUUUAAAAACCAAUGUGAAAUUUGUCUUUUGAUUUUGAGCAUCCAUGAUGCCGAUAUGUACAUUUCAAUUACCACAUGAAGCAGGAAGUUCAAUCUUAAAUACCGAACAUCAAGCAGAAACCACUACACCCAGUAGAUGUAGAUUUUAAUAUUCAAUGGGUUCAUUCCAAUUGCCACAUUAUUUUCAGCAACCAGAACUCAAAAAAAGCCACACAAAUAACACGAUUAUAAGGAUAUGGGGGAUCGGAUACCUUAUUUUAUUUCCCAGUAUAAUUUUGAGACAAUCAAAUUCUGAGCUGCAGAGUCUGAAAUCCAAUAAAGGAGCUUUGGAGUCUAUGGUGGUGUACCGGGAUGAACCAUCACCUUCCAAAUUAAAAUUCUAGGGCUAUACCACAAACAGAAUUCUGAGAUGUAUUGGGUAUUACAUGAUGAAUAACCCAAGAAAACUAGUACCGUAGAAGAGCUUCAAAGGGAAGAGAAAAUGGGAACACCCGGCAGGGUUGCGCCUGCAUCGACAUUGAAAACGUUACCUGAUAUGUAUCGUGAAGAAUCAUGAAUCAAGUAUCGCACCAGGGAUGUCAAUGCAGGGUCCGAUGUUCCAUAGGCCCGCAAGGGGCAUGUUCUCUGAACCACAGUGUUGAGCCAGUCUUUUUGCAUAAGGCCCGCAGUUAUCUCCGAUUUGAAUAUUCCAGGUGCUAUUGCAUUCGCUCUAAUAUUGUAUGCCCCCAAUUCCAAAGCCAUUACCUGGAAUUGUUAUUAUUUGGAAAAAAAAUAAAUAAAUAAUCAUUCUUCAGUGCCAGACUCAGAUGAGUGUGUAGGAAUAAAGGUUCUACAACAUUUUUGCAUGGAAAAACAGUUGAAGAUGGCAGGAAAUAUACAAUAAAAUGUCGAAUCGAAAUAAGUAUAAUGCUAUAUAAACACAAGCCCUUAACCAGAUUUACAGAAAAUGACUUACAUCUUGGAUAGACAAACUGUACGUAUCAUGCAAAAGCGGAGAAUAAUAUUGGGAUUUUUUGCAUGGGAAGCAAGGUGAGAAGAAUAUUGACUUUUUGUACAUUGAUUUUUAUCUUCUCUUUUUAUACAUUUUAUAUACUCCUCAUGCUUAUUAAAAAAAAAAAAAGACAAAAAUAAUAUUAAAAAUUAAAAAUAAAAUAACAAGACAAGCAUAAUAUAGUGAACAUAAACAUUUGACUACAUUUUCACAAUAUAUUUAAAUCUAACGUUGAAUUUCCUAACUCACCUUUGUUUGCCAGAAUAUAUUAGAAACAAAUUUAAAACAUGUCAGAGAUAUUACCU
This 13716-nucleotide long non-coding RNA is filed under the name Vitis vinifera (wine grape). Its description in RNAcentral is "long non-coding RNA (VVIN_LNC002519)". The record is from RNAcentral. Lineage: Eukaryota; Viridiplantae; Streptophyta; Magnoliopsida; Vitales; Vitaceae.